UACGGAGGGUGCGAGCGUUGUCCGGAAUCAUUGGGCGUAAAGGGCGCGUAGGUGGCCCGGUCAGUUCGUGGUGAAAGUUCGGGGCUCAACCCUGAAUCGGCCGUCGAUACUCCCGUGCUUGAGCACUGUAGAGGCAGAUGGAAUUCCGGGUGUAGCGGUGGAAUGCGUAGAGAUCCGGAAGAACACCGGUGGCGAAGGCGGUCUGCUGGGCAGUAGCUGACACUGAGGCGCGACAGCGUGGGGAGCAAACAGG
RNAcentral lists this ribosomal RNA (253 nucleotides) under uncultured bacterium. RNAcentral describes it as "partial 16S ribosomal RNA". It matches the Rfam family "Bacterial small subunit ribosomal RNA", at positions 524 to 776 of the family's 1533-position model. The record is from RNAcentral.